GGGGAAUCUUGCACAAUGGGGGCAACCCUGAUGCAGCGACGCCGCGUGAGCGAUGAAGCCCUUCGGGGCGUAAAGCUCUUUCGACCGGAACGAUAAUGACGGUACCGGGAGAAGAAGCUGCGGCUAACUACGUGCCAGCAGCCGCGGUAAUACGUAGGCAGCAAGCGUUGUUCGGAGUUACUGGGCGUAAAGAGUGCGUAGACGGUUUUCUAAGUUCGGUGUGAAAUCUCCCGGCUUAACUGGGAGGGUGCGCCGAAGACUGGGAAGCUGGAGUGUGGGAAAGGCAGGCGGAAUUCCUGGUGUAGCGGUGAAAUGCGUAGAUAUCAGGAGGAACACCGGCGGUGUAGACGGCUUGCUAGACCAUAACUGACGCUGAGGCACGAAAGCGUGGGUAGCAAACA
RNAcentral lists this ribosomal RNA (401 nucleotides) under uncultured bacterium. RNAcentral's name for it is "bacterial SSU rRNA". It matches the Rfam family "Bacterial small subunit ribosomal RNA", at positions 356 to 774 of the family's 1533-position model. The record is from RNAcentral.